CAAUAGCGUAUACUAAAGUUGUUGCAGUUAAAAAGCUCGUAGUUGGAUUUCUGGCUCGGCAAGCCUAGCCCGAGGACCUGGUGUCCUUGUGAGCUGGCGCUUGUCGGCCAUCCUUCAGGAGGGUGUUUCUGCCCUUGAUUGGGUUGGGGACAGGAUCCUGAUCGUUUACUUUGAAAAAAUUAGAGUGUUCAAAGCAGGCGUGUGCUGUGAAUACAUUAGCAUGGAAUAAUAAGAUAGGACUUCGGCCCUAUUUUGUUGGUUCUGGAGCUGAGGUAAUGAUUGAUAGGGAUAGUUGGGGGUGCUCGUAUUCAACGGCCAGAGGUGAAAUUCUUGGAUUCGUUGAAGACGAACUUAUGCGAAAGCAUUCACCAAGGAUGUCUUCUUUAA
Molecule: ribosomal RNA, 387 nt
Filed under: uncultured eukaryote
Lineage: Eukaryota
Description: partial 18S ribosomal RNA
Rfam family: Eukaryotic small subunit ribosomal RNA
Source: RNAcentral